AGUGAUGUCUGGGAAACUGCCUGAUGGAGGGGGAGUAACUACUGGAAACGGUGGCUAAUACCGCAUAAUGUCUACGGACCAAAGCAGGGGCUCUUCGGACCUUGCACUAUCGGAUGAACCCAUAUGGGAUUAGCUAGUAGGUGGGGUAAAGGCUCACCUAGGCGACGAUCUCUAGCUGGUCUGAGAGGAUGAUCAGCCACACUGGGACUGAGACACGGCCCAGACUCCUACGGGAGGCAGCAUG
Molecule: ribosomal RNA, 244 nt
Filed under: uncultured bacterium
Lineage: Bacteria
Description: partial 16S ribosomal RNA
Rfam family: Bacterial small subunit ribosomal RNA
Source: RNAcentral